This 208-nucleotide ribosomal RNA is filed under the name uncultured bacterium. RNAcentral's name for it is "partial 16S ribosomal RNA". It matches the Rfam family "Bacterial small subunit ribosomal RNA", at positions 1293 to 1500 of the family's 1533-position model. The record is from RNAcentral.
UCGGACUGUAGGCUGCAACUCGCCUACACGAAGUUGGAAUUGCUAGUAAUCGUGGAUCAGCAUGCCACGGUGAAUACGUUCCCGGGUCUUGUACACACCGCCCGUCACACCAUGGGAGCUGGUAACACCCGAAGUCAGUAGUCUAACCGCAAGGAGGACGCUGCCGAAGGUGGGAUUAGCGACUGGGGUGAAGUCGUAACAAGGUAAC